AGUCAGUUAGCUCCGUCAGUGAGAGCGUAGUGCUGAUAACACCAAGGUCGCAGGUUCAAUCCCUGUUCGGUCCC
RNAcentral lists this transfer RNA (74 nucleotides) under Apaloderma vittatum (bar-tailed trogon). It matches the Rfam family "tRNA". Rfam says of the family: Transfer RNA (tRNA) molecules are approximately 80 nucleotides in length. Lineage: Eukaryota; Metazoa; Chordata; Aves; Trogoniformes; Trogonidae. The record is from Rfam by way of RNAcentral.